CUCGGCAAAGAAGGACAGGGCAGAGCAUAAAAGGUAUGCCUAUUGAAACAAUGGAAGAAGAUAAGAGAGGCCCCAGGGGGGCACAGAGACUAAGAAAACCCUCAAUAAAUAUUGUGAACAAUACUGGCCACUUUAUAUAUUUGAAGACAAGGAGAAACCAGUACUUGGAACCCUGAGUUAUUCUACCUUGUUCUGGUUACUAUUAUUCUUGUGAAGAGAAAGAAAAUGAAAUGAGGCUGUGUAGCUGAAUAUGCUUUGUUUGUCUGAAGGAUCACCCUGGAUUGAAGCACAAUGUGGUUUAAAUUUGGCCCCAAGGGAUCCUUCUGUGUUGGCUACAAAAAAAUAUUGCAAAAUGAAAGGAAAGGGAGGACUGAGAACAUGUUGUUCUGCAUGUUCCCUAGAAAGAAGAAAGGUGUUUAAAAUAGAAAGUGAAUGAGGAAAAGAUGGAGGGUGUGGUUGCUCCUUUUGAGUCAUGAGAAGUGGGAGGACAGGGAAUGCAGUUGAAAUCCCUGGUAAAUACUGCUGAGAAAACUUUGCCUUUGAGCCUCCCUUCCUCUCUAGAGCUUGAAAAAGGAAAAACUCACAGUACAGAACCAAAGGCAGAAAGGAAGCUGUGGCAUUGUCACCAUUCAGCAUCCCCCGACGCAGUGCUGGAAUUCCGCUAGCUGCCCCCGGCACCACGCCGAGUGUGGGACACAGCUCAGAAGCAGGAUGAUCCCAGACCUCAAGGAUGCUUUCUUCUGUAUACCCUUGGACCCUGGCAGCCUAAACCUGUUUGCCUUUGAAUGGGGAAACCCAGAGACUGGAAGGAGAAGUCAAUUUACCUGGACUGUAGGACCACAAGAAUUCAAGAAUAGUCCAACCAUAUUUGGAAAACAGUUUACUGAGGAUCUUGAAAGUUGGGUAAGCUGAUCCACAGAUGGAAUUGUGCUACAAUAAGUAGAUUAUCUACUUAUAGCCACAGAAACAAAAAAGACUGGAAUGGAGAGGAAGCUUAUGAAAUGACCUGGGACUAAGCGGAUACAAGGAAUCCAGAAAUCAAGCUCAAAUAAUCAAACAAGAAAUCAUUUACCUAGGAUACAAAAUAUCCCAAGCACAGCAGGAACUAAGACAGGAAUGCAGAGGGACCAUGCACCGAACCCCACUCCCUACUAAUGCUGGAGAAAUGAGAACCUUUCUAGGAAUGACUGGAUGCUCUAUUAACUACGGUGUUAACUGUGGACUGCUGGUUAAGCCACUGUAACAGCUGUUAGAAGGCAAUCCCAGAGACCUGAAAUGGACAUCCACAAGUGAGAAAGCCUUUCAAAGCGGAAGGAGGAAUUGAAAAGAGUACCUGCUCAGGGCUUGCCAGAUGUCUUGGAACCGUUGCAGCUUUUCUCUUGUGAGGGGCAAGGGAUGGCAUUAGGUGCAGUGGCUCAAACAAUUGGCCCAUAGAAGAGAGCAGUAGCCUACUUUUCAAAACAACUGGAUGAAGUAAGUAGGGGACAGCCUCACUGUGAGCAGUUGCUGAUCUUGCUUCCAAACGUCCAAGAAGCCUGGGCAUUCAGUCUAGGUCAACAAAUAAUUGUGUUUAUCUCACAUUCAGUAGGAGGAACUCUUGAGCAAAAGGGUGGGCAUUGGCUGUCAACCUCCAUAUUCCUUAAACAUCAGGCAAUUUUGGUGGAACAAUGUGGUAUUACCAAACUAAUCUCUUCUCUAGUUGAUCCAGCAGCAUUCCUGGCCACUCACCAGACAGACAAGGAACCUUUGUAGCAUGACUGUAUCAAAACCAUGACAUGCACUUUAUUCCAGCUGCCCAGAUCUUAAAGAAAGCCCAAUUCCAGGAGCAGAAUCUCAGUACACAGAUGGGAGUGGCUUUGUAAGAGCAGAUCAGUGAAAAUCGGGAUAUACAAUUAGCACUAUGGAAUAGAAGCCCUAGACAAGUCAGCUCAGAAGGCAGAGAUAAUCAUUUUAACCCGUAGCCUCUGACCAGCCUGAGGAAAAAGGAUCAAUAUAUGAACAGAUUCCAAGUAUGCCUUCAGAGGAAUACAUGCCAUGAAGCAGUUUGGAAAGAAAAGGACUAUUGACAACUCAAGGCAAGCAGAUUAAGCAUUCAGAAGAAAUCUUAAAAUUGCUGGAGGCAGUACUAGUACCUCAAGAGGUUGCAAUGAUGCACUGCAAAGGACAUCAGAAAGGAGAAAAAGACCUCAAAAGAGGUAACAGGUUCCAAAAAUAACAGCAGAAAAAAAGCCAUGCUGAGAUUUAGCAUGGCUGAGAUGCACUAAUUCCUGAAGGGAUAGACAGUUAUGCCUGAAAGAGCAUUGUGAAAAUUAAUUACAGACGAACAUAAUUGUAUACACUGGGAAGGGGAUGCCUUACAUAAUUAUUUGAGAGGGACAACAGAAAGAUUCAACCUGUACACUAGUGUAAAGCAGGUAAGCCAAGGGUGUGAAAUAAUGCCUUAGAACCAAUCCACAAACUAGGACUAGAGUUGAGCUUGGCACAGUAGACAAGGGACAAUAUCCUGGACAGUACUGGCAAGUUGACUUUUCUCAAUUGCCAAGGAAAGGGGGC
This is a long non-coding RNA of Passer domesticus (house sparrow), 2553 nucleotides long. RefSeq lists it as uncharacterized. The record is from RefSeq and is a predicted model, not a curated record. The transcript is spliced from 3 exons. Lineage: Eukaryota; Metazoa; Chordata; Aves; Passeriformes; Passeridae.